AAUGCGGGACUCUAAGAGGCCCCGUAAUUGGAAUGAGUACACCUUAAAUCGUUUAACGAGUAUCAAUUGGAGGGCAAGUCUGGUGCCAGCAGCCGCGGUAAUUCCAGCUCCAAUAGCGUAUAUUAAAGUUGCUGCAGUUAAAAAGCUCGUAGUUGGAUCUGGGGCUUGAGGUCGCUGUCUAUCGUUUCGGCGAUGACGGUGAUGCUCAGCUCUGCUUGCCGGUGACUGUUGCGGUGUUCUUCACUGAGCGCUGUAGCAGCACGGCACGUUUACUUUGAAAAAAUUAGAGUGCUCAAAGCGUGCUUGUCGCUUGAAUAAUGUUGCAUGGAAUAAUGGAAUAGGACCUCGGUUCUAUUUUGUUGGUUUUCGGAGCUUGAGGUAAUGAUUAAGAGGGACGAACGGGGGCAUUCGUAUUGCGGUGUUAGAGGUGAAAUUCUUGGAUCGCCGCAAGACGGACUACUGCGAAAGCAUUUGCCAAGAACGCUUUCAUUAAUUAAGAACGAAAGUCAGAGGUUCGAAGACGAUCAGACACCGUCCUAGUUCUGACCAUAAACGAUGCCGACCAGCGAUCCGUAGUGGUUGCUUUAUGGACCCUACGGGCAGCCUCCGGGAAACCAAAGUAUUUGGGUUCCGGGGGAAGUAUGGUUGCAAAGCUGAAACUUAAAGGAAUUGACGGAAGGGCACACCAGGAGUGGAGCCUGCGGCUUAAUUUGACCCAACACGGGAAAACUCACCCGGUCCGGACACCGUAAGGAUUGACAGACUGAUAGCUCUUUCUUGAUUCGGUGGAUGGUGGUGCAUGGCCGUUCUUAGUUGGUGGAGUGAUUUGUCUGGUUAAUUCCGAUAACGAACGAGACUCUAGCCUGCUAAGUAGUGUUGCUAUUGUUAUAUGGUUGACACUUCUUAGAGGGACAAGUGGCAUUUAGCCACGCGAAAUUGAGCAAUAACAGGUCUGUGAUGCCCUUAGAUGUCCGGGGCCGCACGCGCGCUACACUGGAGAAGUCAGCGUGUGUUAUCCAAGUCCGAAAGGACUGGGUAAUCCGUUGAACCUUCUUCGUGCUUGGGACUGUGGCUUGGAACUAUUCCACAUGAACGAGGAAUUCCUAGUAAUUGCAAGUCAUAAGCUCGCGUUGAUUACGUCCCUGCCCUUUGUACACACCGCCCGUCGCUACUACCGAUUGAAUGGUUUAGCAAGGUCCUCGGAUCGUGGCCGUAGGGGCACGCAAGUGUUUCUGCGGUUUGCGAGAAGACGACCAAACUUGAUCAUUUAGA
RNAcentral lists this ribosomal RNA (1272 nucleotides) under metagenome. Its description in RNAcentral is "SSU rRNA". It matches the Rfam family "Eukaryotic small subunit ribosomal RNA", at positions 482 to 1777 of the family's 1831-position model. The record is from RNAcentral.